GGGCCUAUAGCUCAGCUGGUUAGAGCGUCCGGCUCAUAACCGGAUGGUCCCUGGUUCAAAUCCAGGUGGGCCCACCA
RNAcentral lists this transfer RNA (77 nucleotides) under Deltaproteobacteria bacterium. RNAcentral describes it as "tRNA-Ile". It matches the Rfam family "tRNA". From Rfam's summary of the family: Transfer RNA (tRNA) molecules are approximately 80 nucleotides in length. The record is from RNAcentral. Lineage: Bacteria; Pseudomonadati; Myxococcota; Myxococcia.